AGUGAACGCUGGCGGUAGGCCUAACACAUGCAAGUCGAACGGCAGCACAGUAAGAGCUUGCUCUUACGGGUGGCGAGUGGCGGACGGGUGAGGAAUACAUCGGAAUCUACUUUUUCGUGGGGGAUAACGUAGGGAAACUUACGCUAAUACCGCAUACGACCUACGGGUGAAAGCAGUGGAUCUUCGGACCUUGCGCGAUUGAAUGAGCCGAUGUCUGAUUAGCUAGUUGGCGGGGUAAAGGCCCACCAAGGCGACGAUCCGUAGCUGGUCUGAGAGGAUGAUCAGCCACACUGGAACUGAGACACGGUCCAGACUCCUACGGGAGGCAGCAGUGGGGAAUAUUGGACAAUGGGCGCAAGCCUGAUCCAGCCAUACCGCGUGGGUGAAGAAGGCCUUCGGGUUGUAAAGCCCUUUUGUUGGGAAAGAAAAGCAGCAGGUUAAUACCCCGCUGUUCUGACGGUACCCAAAGAAUAAGCACCGGCUAACUUCGUG
Molecule: ribosomal RNA, 492 nt
Filed under: uncultured bacterium
Lineage: Bacteria
Description: partial 16S ribosomal RNA
Rfam family: Bacterial small subunit ribosomal RNA
Source: RNAcentral